GGAUGUCAAAAUUGCCCUGUUUGAGCAUGCGCGAAAGGCUGCCGCUGUCUGGGCACAAAUUGUCUUCGAGGAAGUUUCCGCUCCUGGUUGUCUGUGAAUGUGAGGCAAAGCCAGGAGCCAUUUUGGAAGAUGGAAAACAUCUGGGGAGUGCAGAGCACACUGGAUUAGAAGGUAGAAUUUGUGCAAAUAGAAAACAAAACACCAAGGAAGAGUGAGUGCAAGUGAAGGAACAUACACAAGGUCAGAAGGAACUUGGAGAAUAUCAGAGCAGCAGCCCAUGAAUUCACCUGAGAAGGGCCGAGUCCUCCUGCAAAUCAGCUGAGGAAUGAGAUGCCACUGGAUUUAGAUGAGGAGCUCCUUGGAGACAGACUCACUCCCUGCUUGUCCAGGACCAGUUUAUCAACACAAAAUUAAUUUUCUCUACACCUGUUCAUUUCAUGGGGAGACUAAGAAGAUAAUCUCUGUAGACUUCCAAAGGGAACUCUGCCUUCAUCAUUCCACAUGACCCUGAUGGCUGUGCCCUCCUCAGCCGGUGAGAGAACCCAUGACUCCUGGUAAUUUAAAAAUAAAUACUUCUGCAAGUGAACCAAUAGAAAUAUUUCACUGUCAUUGAACAGAAAGCUAAAAGCCUAAUUACUUAUUUUAGGAAGCUGACACCAGAAGACACGGAAGAUAAGGCAUUCGACCUCUUUUAUUGCAACUCUUCCGAUCCUUCGUGCCUGCUCUCCCCACCGUAGACUUUAAAACCCACGCGUGUUUGAAAUGCUGCUGGCUAAGAGCAUGGUGUUGAUGAACGGGAGUCAUAUCAUGUUAGCCCAAGGCCCUCUAGUUACUGUGAGAGGCGCUGCUGUCUCUACCCAAGGCACUGUUGCUGUGAAGCGAAGAGUCUCUCGCUCCCGAUCCCCAGAUACAGAGCAGU
Cervus elaphus (red deer) is the source of this 919-nucleotide long non-coding RNA. RefSeq lists it as uncharacterized. The transcript is spliced from 7 exons. NCBI's taxonomy places the organism in Eukaryota, Metazoa, Chordata, Mammalia, Artiodactyla, Cervidae. The record is from RefSeq and is a predicted model, not a curated record.